RNAcentral lists this ribosomal RNA (474 nucleotides) under Staphylococcus epidermidis. RNAcentral describes it as "bacterial SSU rRNA". It matches the Rfam family "Bacterial small subunit ribosomal RNA", at positions 64 to 520 of the family's 1533-position model. Lineage: Bacteria; Bacillati; Bacillota; Bacilli; Caryophanales; Staphylococcaceae. The record is from RNAcentral.
GAGCGAACAGACGAGGAGCUUGCUCCUCUGACGUUAGCGGCGGACGGGUGAGUAACACGUGGAUAACCUACCUAUAAGACUGGGAUAACUUCGGGAAACCGGAGCUAAUACCGGAUAAUAUAUUGAACCGCAUGGUUCAAUAGUGAAAGACGGUUUUGCUGUCACUUAUAGAUGGAUCCGCGCCGCAUUAGCUAGUUGGUAAGGUAACGGCUUACCAAGGCAACGAUGCGUAGCCGACCUGAGAGGGUGAUCGGCCACACUGGAACUGAGACACGGUCCAGACUCCUACGGGAGGCAGCAGUAGGGAAUCUUCCGCAAUGGGCGAAAGCCUGACGGAGCAACGCCGCGUGAGUGAUGAAGGUCUUCGGAUCGUAAAACUCUGUUAUUAGGGAAGAACAAAUGUGUAAGUAACUAUGCACGUCUUGACGGUACCUAAUCAGAAAGCCACGGCUAACUACGUGCCAGCAGCCGCGG